This is a regulatory RNA element of 83 nucleotides. It matches the Rfam family "pan motif". The record is from Rfam.
CGAGCGGUAUUCUCACGAAACUGCAUCGGAUGAGCUUCUUUAUUUUAAUCACAGCCUGUAUCCGCCAUGGAACGGGACGAUCC